UUAACAACAAAAGUAUAGAUAACCCCUCCCCCCUCCCAAAAUGGUUUGUUCCAGCUCGCCCCCACUCUGGCUCUAGGGUCGUUGCUGCCAGAGCGAUGGUAGCUGAGACGCAGCGGAGCGGAGAUGGAGUGCCUGGAUUAAAACGGGACAUAUUAGCAGCAUUUAACCUUCAGUUACUCUUUAUGUAGUUAGAUAGGAGUCAUGUUUCUUUUUAGCUGAAAAACAUUACACCAGAGAGACAGCCAGGUUCAUAAUGGAUAUAAGGAA
Oreochromis niloticus (Nile tilapia) is the source of this 267-nucleotide long non-coding RNA. RefSeq lists it as uncharacterized. The transcript is spliced from 2 exons. NCBI's taxonomy places the organism in Eukaryota, Metazoa, Chordata, Actinopteri, Cichliformes, Cichlidae. The record is from RefSeq and is a predicted model, not a curated record.